UGUGUGUUAGUGGAAGCGUCUGGAAAGGCGCGCGAUACAGGGUGACAGCCCCGUACACAAAAAUGCACAUGCUGUGAGCUCGAUGAGUAGGGCGGGACACGUGGUAUCCUGUCUGAAUAUGGGGGGACCAUCCUCCAAGGCUAAAUACUCCUGACUGACCGAUAGUGAACCAGUACCGUGAGGGAAAGGCGAAAAGAACCCCGGCGAGGGGAGUGAAAAAGAACCUGAAACCGUGUACGUACAAGCAGUGGGAGCCUCUUUUAUGGGGUGACUGCGUACCUUUUGUAUAAUGGGUCAGCGACUUAUAUUCUGUAGCAAGGUUAACCGAAUAGGGGAGCCGAAGGGAAACCGAGUCUUAACUGGGCGUUAAGUUGCAGGGUAUAGACCCGAAACCCGGUGAUCUAGCCAUGGGCAGGUUGAAGGUUGGGUAACACUAACUGGAGGACCGAACCGACUAAUGUUGAAAAAUUAGCGGAUGACUUGUGGCUGGGGGUGAAAGGCCAAUCAAACCGGGAGAUAGCUGGUUCUCCCCGAAAGCUAUUUAGGUAGCGCCUCGUGAAUUCAUCUCCGGGGGUAGAGCACUGUUUCGGCAAGGGGGUCAUCCCGACUUACCAACCCGAUGCAAACUGCGAAUACCGGAGAAUGUUAUCACGGGAGACACACGGCGGGUGCUAACGUCCGUCGUGAAGAGGGAAACAACCCAGACCGCCAGCUAAGGUCCCAAAGUCAUGGUUAAGUGGGAAACGAUGUGGGAAGGCCCAGACAGCCAGGAUGUUGGCUUAGAAGCAGCCAUCAUUUAAAGAAAGCGUAAUAGCUCACUGGUCGAGUCGGCCUGCGCGGAAGAUGUAACGGGGCUAAACCAUGCACCGAAGCUGCGGCAGCGACGCUUAUGCGUUGUUGGGUAGGGGAGCGUUCUGUAAGCCUGCGAAGGUGUACUGUGAGGUAUGCUGGAGGUAUCAGAAGUGCGAAUGCUGACAUAAGUAACGAUAAAGCGGGUGAAAAGCCCGCUCGCCGGAAGACCAAGGGUUCCUGUCCAACGUUAAUCGGGGCAGGGUGAGUCGACCCCUAAGGCGAGGCCGAAAGGCGUAGUCGAUGGGAAACAGGUUAAUAUUCCUGUACUUGGUGUUACUGCGAAGGGGGGACGGAGAAGGCUAUGUUGGCCGGGCGACGGUUGUCCCGGUUUAAGCGUGUAGGCUGGUUUUCCAGGCAAAUCCGGAAAAUCAAGGCUGAGGCGUGAUGACGAGGCACUACGGUGCUGAAGCAACAAAUGCCCUGCUUCCAGGAAAAGCCUCUAAGCAUCAGGUAACAUCAAAUCGUACCCCAAACCGACACAGGUGGUCAGGUAGAGAAUACCAAGGCGCUUGAGAGAACUCGGGUGAAGGAACUAGGCAAAAUGGUGCCGUAACUUCGGGAGAAGGCACGCUGAUAUGUAGGUGAAGUCCCUCGCGGAUGGAGCUGAAAUCAGUCGAAGAUACCAGCUGGCUGC
This 1486-nucleotide ribosomal RNA is filed under the name Escherichia coli. RNAcentral describes it as "partial 23S ribosomal RNA". It matches the Rfam family "Bacterial large subunit ribosomal RNA", at positions 323 to 1797 of the family's 2925-position model. The record is from RNAcentral. Lineage: Bacteria; Pseudomonadati; Pseudomonadota; Gammaproteobacteria; Enterobacterales; Enterobacteriaceae.